Molecule: ribosomal RNA, 388 nt
Filed under: uncultured bacterium
Lineage: Bacteria
Description: bacterial SSU rRNA
Rfam family: Bacterial small subunit ribosomal RNA
Source: RNAcentral
GACGAACGCUGGCGGCGUGCUUAAUACAUGCAAGUCGAGCGAGGCCCAUCCAGUGGCAACACUGGGGAAGGCCGAGCGGCGAACGGGUGAGUAACACGUGAGCAACCUGCCCCGAAGUCUGGAAUAACAUCGGGAAACCGGUGCUAAUACCGGAUUGCCCCACCCUGACCGCAUGAUCGGGUGAGGAAAGAUUUAUCGCUUCGGGAGGGGCUCGCGGCCUAUCAGCAGUUGGCGGGGUAACGGCCCACCAAGGCGUCGACGGGUAGCUGGUCUGAGAGGACGACCAGCCACACUGGGACUGAGACACGGCCCAGACUCCUACGGGAGGCAGCAGUAGGGAAUCUUGCGCAAUGGGCGAAAGCCUGACGCAGCAACGCCGCGUGGGGGA